UAUAAAGUGGCGAACGGCUGAGUAACACCGUGGGCAACCUGCCCUUUGCACUGGGAUAGCCUCGGGAAACCGAGGUUAAUACCGGAUACUCCAUAUUUGUCGCAUGGCGAAUAUGGGAAAGCUCCGGCGGCAAAGGAUGGGCCCGCGGCCUGUUAGCUAGUUGGUGGGGUAGUGGCCUACCAAGGCAAUGAUGGGUAGCCGGGUUGAGAGACCGACCGGCCAGAUUGGGACUGAGACACGGCCCAGACUCCUACGGGAGGCAGCACA
RNAcentral lists this ribosomal RNA (267 nucleotides) under uncultured Atopobium sp. RNAcentral's name for it is "partial 16S ribosomal RNA". It matches the Rfam family "Bacterial small subunit ribosomal RNA", at positions 89 to 353 of the family's 1533-position model. Lineage: Bacteria; Bacillati; Actinomycetota; Coriobacteriia; Coriobacteriales; Atopobiaceae. The record is from RNAcentral.